This 465-nucleotide ribosomal RNA is filed under the name Vreelandella stevensii. RNAcentral describes it as "partial 16S ribosomal RNA". It matches the Rfam family "Bacterial small subunit ribosomal RNA", at positions 338 to 795 of the family's 1533-position model. The record is from RNAcentral. Lineage: Bacteria; Pseudomonadati; Pseudomonadota; Gammaproteobacteria; Oceanospirillales; Halomonadaceae.
CCUACGGGAGGCAGCAGUGGGGAAUAUUGGACAAUGGGGGGAACCCUGAUCCAGCCAUGCCGCGUGUGUGAAGAAGGCCCUCGGGUUGUAAAGCACUUUCAGUGAGGAAGAACGCCUGGUGGUUAAUACCCAUCAGGAAAGACAUCACUCACAGAAGAAGCACCGGCUAACUCCGUGCCAGCAGCCGCGGUAAUACGGAGGGUGCGAGCGUUAAUCGGAAUUACUGGGCGUAAAGCGCGCGUAGGUGGCUUGAUAAGCCGGUUGUGAAAGCCCCGGGCUCAACCUGGGAACGGCAUCCGGAACUGUCAAGCUAGAGUGCAGGAGAGGAAGGUGGAAUUCCCGGUGUAGCGGUGAAAUGCGUAGAGAUCGGGAGGAAUACCAGUGGCGAAGGCGGCCUUCUGGACUGACACUGACACUGAGGUGCGAAAGCGUGGGUAGCAAACAGGAUUAGAUACCCUAGUAGUC